Molecule: ribosomal RNA, 510 nt
Filed under: uncultured bacterium
Lineage: Bacteria
Description: partial 16S ribosomal RNA
Rfam family: Bacterial small subunit ribosomal RNA
Source: RNAcentral
GACGAACGCUGGCGGCGUGCUUAACACAUGCAAGUCGAACGAAGAGCGACGGAAGCUUGCUUCUAUCACUCUUAGUGGCGAACGGGUGAGUAACGCGUAAUCAACCUGCCCUUCAGAGGGGGACAACAGUUGGAAACGACUGCUAAUACCGCAUACGAUCUAAUCUCGGCAUCGAGGAUGGAUGAAAGGUGGCCUCUACAUGUAAGCUAUCACUGAAGGAGGGGAUUGCGUCUGAUUAGCUAGUUGGAGGGGUAACGGCCCACCAAGGCGAUGAUCAGUAGCCGGUCUGAGAGGAUGAACGGCCACAUUGGGACUGAGACACGGCCCAGACUCCUACGGGAGGCAGCAGUGGGGAAUCUUCCGCAAUGGACGAAAGUCUGACGGAGCAACGCCGCGUGAGUGAGGACGGCCUUCGGGUUGUAAAGCUCUGUUAAUCGGGACGAAAGGCCUUCUUGCGAAUAGUGAGAAGGAUUGACGGUACCGGAAUAGAAAGCCACGGCUAACUACGUG